RNAcentral lists this transfer RNA (68 nucleotides) under uncultured Ruminococcus sp. It matches the Rfam family "tRNA". Rfam says of the family: Transfer RNA (tRNA) molecules are approximately 80 nucleotides in length. Their secondary structure includes four short double-helical elements and three loops (D, anti-codon, and T loops). The record is from RNAcentral. Lineage: Bacteria; Bacillati; Bacillota; Clostridia; Eubacteriales; Oscillospiraceae.
CGGAUAUAGUUUAAUGGUAAAACAUCAGCUUCCCAAGCUGAGGUUGCGGAUUCGAUUUCCGUUAUCCG